Molecule: ribosomal RNA, 253 nt
Filed under: uncultured bacterium
Lineage: Bacteria
Description: partial 16S ribosomal RNA
Rfam family: Bacterial small subunit ribosomal RNA
Source: RNAcentral
UACAUGUGGGGCAAGCGUUGUUCGGAAUUACUGGGCAUAAAGGGUGCGUAGGCGGCUUGUUAAGUCAGGGGUGAAAGUUUUCGGCCCAACCGGAAAAUUGCCUUUGAUACUGGCGAGCUCGAGUGCGUGAGGGGUAACCGGAACGAGUGGUGUAGCGGUGAAAUGCGUAGAUAUCACUCGGAAGGCCAAAGGCGAAGGCAGGUUACUGGUACGCAACUGACGCUGAGGCACGAAAGCGUGGGGAUCAAACAGG